UGGCUCAGAGGUUAAAGCAUCUGCCUGCAAUGCAGGAGACCUAAGUUCGAUCCCUGG
RNAcentral lists this transfer RNA (57 nucleotides) under Bos taurus (domestic cattle). It matches the Rfam family "tRNA", at positions 8 to 63 of the family's 71-position model. Rfam says of the family: Transfer RNA (tRNA) molecules are approximately 80 nucleotides in length. Their secondary structure includes four short double-helical elements and three loops (D, anti-codon, and T loops). Further hydrogen bonds mediate the characteristic L-shaped molecular structure. tRNAs have two regions of fundamental functional importance: the anti-codon, which is responsible for specific mRNA codon recognition, and the 3' end, to which the tRNAs corresponding amino acid is attached (by aminoacyl-tRNA synthetases). tRNAs cope with the degeneracy of the genetic code in two manners: having more than one tRNA (with a specific anti-codon) for a particular amino acid; and 'wobble' base-pairing, i.e. permitting non-standard base-pairing at the 3rd anti-codon position. The record is from Rfam by way of RNAcentral. RNAcentral also lists the same sequence under 2 other names. Lineage: Eukaryota; Metazoa; Chordata; Mammalia; Artiodactyla; Bovidae.